This 118-nucleotide ribosomal RNA is filed under the name Nicotiana attenuata. Lineage: Eukaryota; Viridiplantae; Streptophyta; Magnoliopsida; Solanales; Solanaceae. The record is from RNAcentral.
GGAUGUGAUCAUACCAACACUAACGCAUCGGAUCCUAUCAGAACUCCGAGGUUAAGCGUGCCUGGGCGAGAGUAGUACUAGGAUGGGUGACCCUCUGGAAGUCCUUGUGUUGCAUCCC